This is a non-coding RNA of Myotis davidii, 35 nucleotides long. The record is from Rfam. NCBI's taxonomy places the organism in Eukaryota, Metazoa, Chordata, Mammalia, Chiroptera, Vespertilionidae.
CGGUCUCUUGCUUCAACGGUGUUUGGAUGAAACGG